Molecule: long non-coding RNA, 359 nt
Organism: Danaus plexippus (monarch butterfly)
Lineage: Eukaryota; Metazoa; Arthropoda; Insecta; Lepidoptera; Nymphalidae
Exons: 2
Source: RefSeq, a predicted model, not a curated record
GGAGGCGGUUGUGGAGCGCCCGGUGGUGGAAAUGCCGCGGACGGAGCGACACGACGCGUCCGCCGACCGGGAACGACGAGCACGGACAGUGGACGGGGGAGCUGGGGAUUGAAGACCAAUCACUUGUAGCUGGGUGUAGUCUACAGGAUAUUACUAGGCUACAGUGUGAGGAUGGACCAUGAUGAGCAGAACAGCACAAGAAUAAGGAAGCGGACUUACCAAGGAAUGUUUUCUUAGCAUGUCGCUCUCCAGAACCUUGAGAUGAAUUCUCCGUGAGGUACCCUGAUCCCAGAAAGCGCCCGGUUAGUGGAAAUAUGGUAAAUGUUGUUAGAUGAGGUGAUUAAAAUGUUAAGAAAUUU